Molecule: ribosomal RNA, 253 nt
Filed under: uncultured bacterium
Lineage: Bacteria
Description: partial 16S ribosomal RNA
Rfam family: Bacterial small subunit ribosomal RNA
Source: RNAcentral
UACAGAGGGGGCAAGCGUUAUUCGGAAUUAUUGGGCGUAAAGGGCGCGUAGGCGGCUUUGUAAGUGACGGGUGAAAUCCCUCGGCUUAACCGAGGAACUGCCUGUGAAACUGCAUGGCUAGAGUUUGGCAGAGGGGGGUAGAAUUCCACGUGUAGCAGUGAAAUGCGUAGAUAUGUGGAGGAACACCGAUGGCGAAGGCAGCCCCCUGGGUCAAGACUGACGCUCAGGCACGAAAGCGUGGGGAGCAAACAGG